Molecule: small nucleolar RNA, 99 nt
Filed under: Macleaya cordata
Lineage: Eukaryota; Viridiplantae; Streptophyta; Magnoliopsida; Ranunculales; Papaveraceae
Description: Small nucleolar RNA snoR113
Rfam family: Small nucleolar RNA snoR113
Source: Rfam by way of RNAcentral
UGGCAGUGAUGAAAAAAAGGCCGGUCCUACAGCUGCUUUGGUUCAAUCCAAUUGGUAGUAGAAUGGUGCGAAAUAAUCAUGAGGUAUUUUCUGAGCCAG